This 588-nucleotide ribosomal RNA is filed under the name uncultured bacterium. Its description in RNAcentral is "bacterial SSU rRNA". It matches the Rfam family "Bacterial small subunit ribosomal RNA", at positions 338 to 916 of the family's 1533-position model. The record is from RNAcentral.
CCUACGGGAGGCAGCAGUAGGGAAUCUUCGGCAAUGGGCGAAAGCCUGACCGAGCAACGCCGCGUGAGUGAAGAAGGUUUUCGGAUCGUAAAACUCUGUUGUAAGGGAAGAACAGCAGGUAGUUAAAUAAGCUACUUGUGUGACGGUACCUUAUUAGAAAGCCACGGCUAACUACGUGCCAGCAGCCGCGGUAAUACGUAGGUGGCAAGCGUUAUCCGGAAUUAUUGGGCGUAAAGCGCGCGCAGGCGGUUUCUUAAGUCUGAUGUGAAAGCCCCCGGCUCAACCGGGGAGGGUCAUUGGAAACUGGGAAACUUGAGUGCAGAAGAGAAGAGUGGAAUUCCACGUGUAGCGGUGAAAUGCGUAGAGAUGUGGAGGAACACCAGUGGCGAAGGCGACUCUUUGGUCUGUAACUGACGCUGAGGCGCGAAAGCGUGGGGAGCAAACAGGAUUAGAUACCCUGGUAGUCCACGCUGUAAACGAUGAGUGCUAAGUGUUAGGGGGUUUCCGCCCCUUAGUGCUGCAGCUAACGCAUUAAGCACUCCGCCUGGGGAGUACGGUCGCAAGACUGAAACUCAAAGGAAUUGACGG